RNAcentral lists this ribosomal RNA (492 nucleotides) under uncultured bacterium. RNAcentral describes it as "partial 16S ribosomal RNA". It matches the Rfam family "Bacterial small subunit ribosomal RNA", at positions 29 to 507 of the family's 1533-position model. The record is from RNAcentral.
AGUGAACGCUGGCGGUAGGCCUAACACAUGCAAGUCGAACGGCAGCACAGUAAGAGCUUGCUCUUACGGGUGGCGAGUGGCGGACGGGUGAGGAAUACAUCGGAAUCUACUUUUUCGUGGGGGAUAACGUAGGGAAACUUACGCUAAUACCGCAUACGACCUACGGGUGAAAGCAGGAGAUCUUCGGACCUUGCGCGAUUGAAUGAGCCGAUGUCGGAUUAGCUAGUUGGCGGGGUAAAGGCCCACCAAGGCGACGAUCCGUAGCUGGUCUGAGAGGAUGAACAGCCACACUGGAACUGAGACACGGUCCAGACUCCUACGGGAGGCAGCAGUGGGGAAUAUUGGACAAUGGGCGCAAGCCUGAUCCAGCCAUACCGCGUGGGUGAAGAAGGCCUUCGGGUUGUAAAGCCCUUUUGUUGGGAAAGAAAAGCAGCAGGUUAAUACCCCGCUGUUCUGACGGUACCCAAAGAAUAAGCACCGGCUAACUUCGUG